This 465-nucleotide ribosomal RNA is filed under the name uncultured bacterium. RNAcentral describes it as "partial 16S ribosomal RNA". It matches the Rfam family "Bacterial small subunit ribosomal RNA", at positions 28 to 507 of the family's 1533-position model. The record is from RNAcentral.
GACGAACGCUGGCGGCGUGCUUAACACAUGCAAGUCGAACGGAAAGGCCCUGCUUGCAGGGUACUCGAGUGGCGAACGGGUGAGUAACACGUGGGUGAUCUGCCCUGCACUUCGGGAUAAGCCUGGGAAACUGGGUCUAAUACCGGAUAGGAGCCAUUUUUAGUGUGAUGGUUGGAAAGUUUUUUCGGUGUAGGAUGAGCUCGCGGCCUAUCAGCUGGUUGGUGGGGUAAUGGCCUACCAAGGCGGCGACGGGUAGCCGGCCUGGGAGGGUGGACGGCCACAUUGGGACUGAGCUACGGCCCAGACUCCUACGGGAGGCAGCAGUGGGGAGUAUUGCACAAUGGGCGCAAGCCUGAUGCAGCGACGCCGCGUGGGGGAUGACGGCCUUCGGGUUGUAAACUCCUUUCGCUAGGGACGAAGCUUUUUGUGACGGUACCUAGAUAAGAAGCACCGGCUAACUACGUG